CGAAUCCGUUAUUAUAUGUUUGCUCUCAUUUUUGUUGUUUUUGAUGUUGAAACGGUUUUUCUUUAUCCAUGGGCAAUGAGUUUCGAUGUAUUAGGGGUAUCCGUAUUUUUAGAAGCUUUCUUAUUCGUGCUUAUCCUAAUUGUUGGUUCAGUUUAUGCAUGGCGAAAGGGGGCAUUAGAAUGGUCUUAAUUCUUGACUAUUUAGACAAUUAGAAAAAAAAAUAUUGAGACAAUUAUGAAUUCCAUUGAGUUUCCCUUACUUGAUCAAACAACCCAAAAUUCAGUUAUUUCAACGACAUUAAAUGAUUUUUCAAAUUGGUCAAGAUUAUCCAGUUUAUGGCCGCUUCUUUAUGGUACGAGUUGUUGCUUCAUUGAAUUUGCUUCAUUAAUAGGAUCACGAUUCGAUUUUGAUCGUUAUGGACUAGUACCACGAUCGAGUCCUAGGCAGGCGGACCUAAUUUUAACAGCGGGCACUGUAACUAUGAAAAUGGCCCCUUCUUUAGUUCGAUUAUAUGAACAAAUGCCCGAACCUAAAUAUGUUAUUGCUAUGGGAGCCUGUACAAUUACGGGGGGAUGUUUAGUACCGAUUCUUAUAGUACUGUUCGAGGCGUAGAUAAGCUAAUUCCUGUAGAUGUAUAUUUGCCGGGCUGUCCACCUAAACCGGAGGCCAUUAUAGAUGCUAUAACAAAACUUCGUAAGAAAAUAUCUCGAGAAAUAUAUGAAGAUCCAAUGAGUUUUCAACGAGAGAAUAGAUCACCCGGAGGACUCUUAGCUAGUGUAUAUCAUUUUACAAGAAUAGAGUAUGGUAUAAAUCAACCCGAAGAGGUAUGCAUAAAAAUAUUUGUAUCAAGAAAAAAUCCCAGAAUUCCUUCGAUUUUUUGGGUUUGGAAAAGUGCGGAUUUUCAAGAAAAGGAAUCUUAUGAUAUGUUGGGAAUCUCUUAUGAUAGUCAUCCGCGUCUAAGACGUAUUUUAAUGCCCGAAAAUUGGAUAGGAUGGCCUUUGCGUAAAGAUUAUAUUGCUCCAAAUUUUUAUGAAAUACAAGAUGCUCACUAAAUGAUAAAAAUAAUAAACUAAUCCAAACUUCUGCAACCCCAGUCAAAGAAUAUAAGUACAUUCUGUUAUAGAUCAGACAAAAUAAUUGAUUGACAUUAAAUCAGGCAGAGUAAUGGAAGUUGCAUUCAGAUAUUAUUAUGUGAGAAAUCACAAAAUUCAGAAAUAAUAGAAUGAAUAAUUAUAGGGUUUAAAAUAGGAUAGGAGUUUCUUAAGAUUCUAAAACAAAAACAAUACUGAGUUCUUAUCAGCCAAGCCAAUAAAAGAAAUAGGAUGAACUGCAAAAAUUCUUUAUCUUUAUAAUCAACUAAUUCUUUAUCUUUAUAAUAAACUAUAUAACGUGCACAUCACCAUCAAUUAUACGGCCACGAAAAAAAAAACACAAAGAAAAGGGCUCGAUUCUAUUUUGGUAAUCCUUCUCAGAUGAAUUCUUAAUAUUCUCACUCCACCCCAGAACUUCGACUUUUAGGUCUUUUAACCAACUAAUUAAACCACUCGAAUAUUAUGGAAAUAGAAACCUUUUUUUGUAUCGCAGAAAAAAAAGGAAAAAAAUAGAUAAAGAAUUCAUUAUCUAUAUAUCUAUAUCUAUAUAUAUAUAGAUACUAUAGAUAAGCGAAUAUACCUAAUAAAAAAUUGCAUCUAUUCUUUAAUCAUCUAGGAAAAGUAUAUCUACAGAUACCUAAAUAGAUCAAAGAAAUAUGUUAUGUAUCAGAAUCUAGAAGAACACAAAUUUGUAUGAGUAUCUAUCCCCCAUAUUCAUUUUAAUGAAUAUGGGGGAUAGAUACUCAUACAAAUGAAUCUUGUGUCAGGAACCAGAUUUGAACUGGUGACACGAGGAUUUUCAGUCCUCUGCUCUACCAACUGAGCUAUCCCGACCAUUCUUGAAGCUUAAUACUUUGAUUUUAAAAGAUUUUUAAAAUCUAUGUUAAUGAAUCUAUAUCAACUAAGUAAAAAAAAAGUUUGUAAGUGAGUUUCCGCAGUAAUAAUUAUUUUUUAUUGUUAAUCGUUAAUUACGCAUAUGAAAAUUCCUUGCUAAAAAAUAAGAUAUUAAUUUAUACAUUUCUGAUUAAAAAAAAUUCUAUGUGUUUCACAUAUAUAUUUAUAUCUAUUCCAAAACUCGUCCCUUGUCAUUAUGAUAGAUAAGAAAAUUAUGAUAGAUAGGAAAUUGAUGAAAAUAAAAAUUCCAAUUUCGUUGGGAAAUAAUAAAUCGAAUAAAACACAUAAAUAAGGACUUCAAGAUAGAGAGGAUAUAGGAAAAAAAUUAGAAAAUGAAAAAGUAUUUUUGGGGAUAGAGGGACUUGAACCCUCAUGAUUUCUUAAGUCGACGGAUUUUCCUCUUACUUUCAAUUUCAUUGUUGUCGGUAUUGACAUGUAGAAUAGGACUCUAUCUUUAUUCUCAUCUGAUUUAUCAGUUCUUCAAGGGUUUUAGCCGAUUAUGAUGAAGUGAAUAAUUUCAUCAAUAAAUAUUCCAUCUUUUCUUCAACUUCGAAUUGAUUUGAUUCACAUUUUUCAUUUGUGAAUAUUUUUAUCACAAAUAGAUCUUCAAUAAUAAAAUAAAAAGUAACAAAUUGAAAGAGUAUUUCAGUAUAUAUAUAUGUUUCUAAAUGUUUAUCUUUGAUCCAUUCCUGUAAUUUUGGUGAAAGGAUUCUUUUACUAAUGCAAUAAAAAAAGUCGUCAAUUUCGUUUGUUAGAACAGCUUCCAUAGAGUCUCUGCACCUAUCCCUUUUUUAUUAUCACUUUCUGAAUUUUUAUUUGUUUUCAGAAAACAGGAUUUGGCUCAGGAUUGCCCAUUGUGAAUUCCAGGGUUUCUCUGAAUUUGAAAAUUAUUACUUGGUAAGUUUCCAUACCAAAACUCAAUCCAAUUAAGUCCGUAGCGUCUACCAAUUUCGCCAUAU
This is a non-coding RNA of Vigna unguiculata (cowpea), 2944 nucleotides long. Lineage: Eukaryota; Viridiplantae; Streptophyta; Magnoliopsida; Fabales; Fabaceae. The record is from RefSeq and is a predicted model, not a curated record.